RNAcentral lists this ribosomal RNA (434 nucleotides) under uncultured bacterium. Its description in RNAcentral is "partial 16S ribosomal RNA". It matches the Rfam family "Bacterial small subunit ribosomal RNA", at positions 29 to 507 of the family's 1533-position model. The record is from RNAcentral.
AGCGAACGCUGGCGGCAGGCCUAACACAUGCAAGUCGAACGAACCUUUCGGGGUUAGUGGCGGACGGGUGAGUAACACGUGGGAACGUGCCUUUAGGUUCGGAAUAACUCAGGGAAACUUGUGCUAAUACCGAAUGUGCCCUUCGGGGGAAAGAUUUAUCGCCUUUAGAGGGGCCCGCGUCUGAUUAGCUAGUUGGUUGAGGUAAUGGCUCACCAAGGCGACGAUCAGUAGCUGGUCUGAGAGGAUGAUCAGCCACAUUGGGACUGAGACACGGCCCAAACUCCUACGGGAGGCAGCAGUGGGGAAUCUUGCGCAAUGGGCGAAAGCCUGACGCAGCCAUGCCGCGUGAAUGAUGAAGGUCUUAGGAUUGUAAAAUUCUUUCACCGGGGACGAUAAUGACGGUACCCGGAGAAGAAGCCCCGGCUAACUUCGUG